This is a non-coding RNA of Podarcis lilfordi (Lilford's wall lizard), 70 nucleotides long. NCBI's taxonomy places the organism in Eukaryota, Metazoa, Chordata, Lepidosauria, Squamata, Lacertidae. The record is from the annotation of a GenBank genome assembly.
GCCUGUAGCUCAGUGGUAGUGCAUAGGCUUAGCAUGCAGAAGGUCCCAGGUUCAAUCCCUGGCACCAGCA